This 253-nucleotide ribosomal RNA is filed under the name uncultured bacterium. RNAcentral's name for it is "partial 16S ribosomal RNA". It matches the Rfam family "Bacterial small subunit ribosomal RNA", at positions 524 to 776 of the family's 1533-position model. The record is from RNAcentral.
UACGAAGGGGGCUAGCGUUUUUCGGAAUCACUGGGCGUAAAGCGCACGUAGGCGGAUUGUUAAGUGAGGGGUGAAAUCCCAGGGCUCAACCCUGGAACUGCCUCUCAUACUGGCAAUCUCGAGUUCGAGAGAGGUAAGUGGAAUUCCGAGUGUAGAGGUGAAAUUCGUAGAUAUUCGGAGGAACACCAGUGGCGAAGGCGGCUUACUGGAUCGAUACUGACGCUGAGGUGCGAAAGCGUGGGGAGCAAACAGG